This is a long non-coding RNA of Pseudopipra pipra, 724 nucleotides long. RefSeq lists it as uncharacterized. NCBI's taxonomy places the organism in Eukaryota, Metazoa, Chordata, Aves, Passeriformes, Pipridae. The transcript has 4 exons. The record is from RefSeq and is a predicted model, not a curated record.
UUAUAUGUACGGUUACACUUCUAAAUAGAUCACAAAGAAAUCCUUGACUCCCUGUCUAUCAUUAAUUUCCUUUUUCUCUCAACAAGUUACCGAAAGGAACUGUAUGAAAAUGAAGACUUGAAACUACAAUCCAUGACUCAGGAAAGGCUGUCUUUGCCAUUUUACCUUUGUGUAUUUCUGCACAAAGUUAGUAUCAGUAUUUCUCUAGUAUACUUUUGGAUUAGGAAUUUGAAAAGGAUUCUCCAUCAUCAAAGAGUGGUCCUGGAUGCACACCAGUCAUAAAAUCAGCAGUUUAAAGGCCUGCAUGCCACAAGCCUUGAUGGUGGAAAGAAUGUGUCUGAGGUGGGAGGAAAAGACAUCCUGUGGUCCCUACUAAAGAAUAAUUCUCUGAAGAACAACAAUUUGAAGAGGUUGAACCAACAGAUAACAAUACAGACUGAUAACUACUUAAAAGUUCCUUAGGAAUAAUGGCUAACGAAUUGGAAAAAAAACAGAGGAAAGAAAUAGCUUUACACCUAAAUACCAGCAGAAACUCCUGCUGAGACAAAUGUUCCAGGGUGUGUUCACUGUGACAUUCAAAGGGAAGCAAAGUGCAAAGGGGCAAGAAAGCAGGUGUAUUAUAACACUAUAAUUCAUUUUCUUAGAGGAUUAAAAUUCAUGCAGGAGAAAAUCAGUGGUGAAGUUAUAGUACAGAAUCAUCUUUUGCAUCAUGACAAGAACAUGG